AUUGAACGCUGGCGGCAUGCUUUACACAUGCAAGUCGAACGGCAGCGCGGGCUUCGGCCUGGCGGCGAGUGGCGAACGGGUGAGUAAUGCAUCGGAACGUGCCCAGUAGUGGGGGAUAGCCCGGCGAAAGCCGGAUUAAUACCGCAUACGACCUGAGGGUGAAAGCGGGGGACCGAAAGGCCUCGCGCUAUUGGAGCGGCCGAUGUCGGAUUAGCUAGUUGGUGGGGUAAAUGCUUACCAAGGCGACGAUCCGUAGCUGGUCUGAGAGGACGACCAGCCACACUGGGACUGAGACACGGCCCAGACUCCUACGGGAGGCAGCAGUGGGGAAUUUUGGACAAUGGGGGCAACCCUGAUCCAGCCAUGCCGCGUGCGGGAAGAAGGCCUUCGGGUUGUAAACCGCUUUUGUUCGGGAAGAAAUCCUCUGGGCUAAUACCCCGGGGGGAUGACGGUACCGGAAGAAUAAGCACCGGCUAACUACGUG
RNAcentral lists this ribosomal RNA (484 nucleotides) under uncultured bacterium. Its description in RNAcentral is "partial 16S ribosomal RNA". It matches the Rfam family "Bacterial small subunit ribosomal RNA", at positions 28 to 507 of the family's 1533-position model. The record is from RNAcentral.